RNAcentral lists this ribosomal RNA (253 nucleotides) under uncultured bacterium. RNAcentral describes it as "partial 16S ribosomal RNA". It matches the Rfam family "Bacterial small subunit ribosomal RNA", at positions 524 to 776 of the family's 1533-position model. RNAcentral also lists the same sequence under 1 other name. The record is from RNAcentral.
UACGUAGGGGGCUAGCGUUGUCCGGAUUUAUUGGGCGUAAAGAGCGUGUAGGCGGCCUGGUAGGUCUGCUGUGAAAACUCGAGGCUCAACCUCGAGAUGUCGGCGGAAACCAUCUGGCUAGAGUCCGGAAGAGGAGAGUGGAAUUCCUGGUGUAGCGGUGAAAUGCGCAGAUAUCAGGAGGAACACCAAUUGCGAAGGCAGCUCGCUGGGACGUUACUGACGCUGAGACGCGAAAGCGUGGGGAGCAAACAGG